CCUACGGGUGGCUGCAGUGGGGAAUAUUGGGCAAUGGGCGCAAGCCUGACCCAGCAACGCCGCGUGAAGGAAGAAGGCUUUCGGGUUGUAAACUUCUUUUGACAGGGAAGAGUAGAAGACGGUACCUGUCGAAUAAGCCACGGCUAACUACGUGCCAGCAGCCGCGGUAAUACGUAGGUGGCAAGCGUUGUCCGGAUUUACUGGGUGUAAAGGGCGUGUAGCCGGGUUGACAAGUCAGAUGUGAAAUCCUGCGGCUUAACCGCAGAACUGCAUUUGAAACUGUUGAUCUUGAGUACUGGAGAGGGGGGCAGAAGUCCUGGGGUAGCGGUGAAAUGCGUAGAGAUGAGGAGGAAUACCAGUGGCGAAGGCGGUCUGCUGGACAGCGACUGACGGUGAGGCGCGAAAGCGUGGGGAGCAAACAGGAUUAGAGACCCUGGUAGUC
Molecule: ribosomal RNA, 442 nt
Filed under: uncultured bacterium
Lineage: Bacteria
Description: partial 16S ribosomal RNA
Rfam family: Bacterial small subunit ribosomal RNA
Source: RNAcentral